UUGGGGUCUGGGGGUGCCCUGACCUUGCUUCUCCUCGAAGGCGGCCCACAGCAGGUGGAUGUUGGGCUUGCGGGGCAGGUGGAAGCCGCAGGCGCGCUGGAAAACGCUGCGGGCGCCCGGCACCGUGCGGGACUCCAGAGGGCGCAGGCGAUGAGGCAGCGCUCGAAGAGGACGAUGCUGCGCUCGUGCGAGCCCGCCGCCACCUCCCAGUCCAGAUUUGCUGCCUCAUGGAGAUCACGAGCUCCCGGAUCUUCUCCUGGUCCAGAUCCUCCUGCAGUGACAACAAAUAAUAAAUACAACCAUUUAUUACUGGUGUGGAUAAAUUGCAGGAGAAAAAGAAAUUGCAAUAAUAAAUUAAAACAGUAAAUAAAGCCAAAUAAUGAUAAAUAAAUCCAUUAAAAUAAAAACCCAGUUAAAACGAACCCCAUUAAAAUAAAUAAACCCAUUAAAAUAAAAGUCCAAUUAAAAUAAAUAAACCCACUAAAACAAAAAUCCCAUUAAAAUAAAUAAACCCAUGCUAAAACCCCCAAGGUGAAUAAACGUCAAUAAACACAAAAUACAGAUAGAAAAAUACCAAAAAAUAGAUUGAAAUAAGAUGUUAAGAAAUAAAUUCAUGG
Molecule: long non-coding RNA, 617 nt
Organism: Haemorhous mexicanus (house finch)
Lineage: Eukaryota; Metazoa; Chordata; Aves; Passeriformes; Fringillidae
Exons: 3
Source: RefSeq, a predicted model, not a curated record